Otolemur garnettii (small-eared galago) is the source of this 74-nucleotide non-coding RNA. The record is from Rfam. NCBI's taxonomy places the organism in Eukaryota, Metazoa, Chordata, Mammalia, Primates, Galagidae.
GCGCCUGUGGCCCAAAGGAGCAGGGCACUGGCCCCAUAUGCCAGAGGUGGUGGGUUCAAACCCAGCCCUGGCCA